AAUGAACGCUGGCGGCGCGCCUAAUACAUGCAAGUCGAGCGAGAAGACGUAGCAAUACGUUUGUAAAGCGGCGAACGGGUGAGGAAUACAUGGGUAACCUACCCUAGAGUGGGGAAUAACUAGCCGAAAGGUUAGCUAAUACCGCGUACGCUCCUUGGACUUCGGUUCAGGGAGGAAAGCGAUGCCGAGGGUAUCGCGCUCUUGGAUGGGCUCAUGUCCUAUCAGCUUGGGUGAGGUAACGGCUCACCAAGGCUUCGACGGGUAGCUGGUCUGAGAGGACGAUCAGCCACACUGGGCACUGCGACACGGGCCAGACUCCUACGGGAGGCAGCAGUAAGGAAUAUUGCGCAAUGGGCG
RNAcentral lists this ribosomal RNA (357 nucleotides) under uncultured bacterium. RNAcentral describes it as "bacterial SSU rRNA". It matches the Rfam family "Bacterial small subunit ribosomal RNA", at positions 29 to 377 of the family's 1533-position model. The record is from RNAcentral.